Molecule: long non-coding RNA, 390 nt
Filed under: Homalodisca vitripennis (glassy-winged sharpshooter)
Lineage: Eukaryota; Metazoa; Arthropoda; Insecta; Hemiptera; Cicadellidae
Description: uncharacterized LOC124363958
Source: RNAcentral
CAUGGAGCGGACCCCAUGGAGUGUCCCGGUGCCCAGCCAGUCUGACAUUGGUACUGACUCGACCCAACGACCCUGCGAGGCGACCAGCAUGACCCGGACUGAGCCUUCUCCUGCACGGAGUGACGUGAGCCAGACAUCGACAGCCUCCCUGAGGCCCCCUGCCAGCACCGGCGGCAGUAAGCCCCCCAACAGUGCCCCCCUGCUGCGGAAAGUCGCCAAGAAAUGAUCCCAGCCUUCCCACGUUUGGUGUUACCCGACCUCUAGUGUUCAGAACAGUGCUUGUAAAUAUUCCCGCCAAUACAUUGUACAGUUUUAUAAAGUGCCUUGUUAUCCUCUCCUGAGACAGUUUAUUUCUGUAAAUAAAUACACUGAAGUUACUGUUGAUUUUAA